ACCGCAGGCCGCCUUAUCGCCGUCUUGAAAAAGAGGGAGGAAAGUCCGGGCACCAUAGAGCAGCAUAGCGGGUAACACCCGUCACCAAAAGCAGUUUUGGGAGGACAAGUGCAACAGAAAGUAUGUACAGGUAAUGCUGUAGUGAAACCAGGUAAACUCUAUGCGGUGAAAUACCAAGUAUAUCGGCAUUUAAGGAUUGCUCGUCCGUUGCCGAAGGGUAGGUAGAUUGAGUUUGGCAGUAAUGCCAAAUCUAGAUAAAUGAUAAGGAUUCGCUUUCGCGGAUACAGAACCCGGCUUAUAGGCCUGCAUUUUUU
RNAcentral lists this RNase P RNA (314 nucleotides) under Flavobacterium sp. WW92. Its description in RNAcentral is "RNase P RNA component class A". It matches the Rfam family "Bacterial RNase P class A". From Rfam's summary of the family: Ribonuclease P (RNase P) is a ubiquitous endoribonuclease, found in archaea, bacteria and eukarya as well as chloroplasts and mitochondria. Its best characterised activity is the generation of mature 5'-ends of tRNAs by cleaving the 5'-leader elements of precursor-tRNAs. The record is from RNAcentral. Lineage: Bacteria; Pseudomonadati; Bacteroidota; Flavobacteriia; Flavobacteriales; Flavobacteriaceae.